UACGUAGGGGGCAAGCGUUGUCCGGAUUUAUUGGGCGUAAAGAGCGUGUAGGCGGCCUGAAAGGUCAGCUGUGAAAACUCGAGGCUCAACCUCGAGACGUCGGUUGAAACCAUCUGGCUAGGGUCCGGAAGAGGAGUGUGGAAUUCCCGGUGUAGCGGUGAAAUGCGCAGAUAUCGGGAGGAACACCUGCGGUGUAGACGGCUUUCUGGACCAUUGUUGACGCUGAGACACGAAAGCGUGGGUAGCAAACAGG
Molecule: ribosomal RNA, 253 nt
Filed under: uncultured bacterium
Lineage: Bacteria
Description: partial 16S ribosomal RNA
Rfam family: Bacterial small subunit ribosomal RNA
Source: RNAcentral